CAGUGCCCUGUACGAUAGUUUCAUGUGAUGUUAUGGCGAAUAGAAAAUUGAUCAAUCAAGUAACCUGGCUGUAAUGACUAGUAAGAAUUACGGUUUUUUUGUGGCUCUAUUUUUGAUUGCUACAGAUAGUCUCUCAGAAAGAGCGACUUAUGGUUUUUUUAGCGCUCUAAUUUUACUUCUCGUGCCCACCUAAUUUCGCAGUUUAUUGUCCUUGACUUCUACCACCAGAGAAAUUUUUUUUAAAAUUACAACUUUGCCCGUGCAGGGUUUUCUGGGAGAAGUGAAAAAAAAAAUUCUAACGACUGUCGAAGUUAUGAGUAAUUACUUCACUAGAGGGAGAGGGCAUAAGGAAAUUCUUGAAAAGCGCUGCAUAUAUAAAGGAGCAUUCUUGAUUACUUCUCCAUUUCAGUUCUUGUAAGUCAUCUUCGUAAAAAUAAAACUCUAUACAAGAACCAAAUAUAAACUACCAGCAAUGACAGGCAUUAACAUCAAUGGCUUACAGGAUACAUUUCAACAAGCUAUGAGUAUGAGCGGUUCUGCUUGUGCUGU
This 549-nucleotide small RNA is filed under the name Saccharomyces kudriavzevii IFO 1802. Its description in RNAcentral is "srg1". It matches the Rfam family "srg1". The record is from Rfam by way of RNAcentral. Lineage: Eukaryota; Fungi; Ascomycota; Saccharomycetes; Saccharomycetales; Saccharomycetaceae.